AAAAAUCAAGGCCCGAACAAAUCGCUGCUUCUGUAUCUGCUCUAUUCACUCAGAAGGUCGACAACAAGAAGUAGAUAACAUCGAUUAAGGUAUAUUUCACAGCAUUUUUAAAAAUUGUGAAUAUAUGAUCUUCGAUGUGAGUGUAUUUAGUUUCUAAUUCUAAAAAUUGUGACUGUAUUUAUCAUAUUGCUCUACUUGUUUAUCCUCUCCAAAAAGUAUGUAAAAGUCGGUGAGAUUUGUUGUUCUUGUUAACCAUUGUUGUGAACUUUGUGUUGAAAGAAGGGUGAUGGGGACUGAUGAAUUAAUGGCAUGUAUGUAUUUUCUUUGUAUUAACUAAAUUGUUGCUGCUUUAAUUCAUGCACAAGAUGACAAAUGUACUGUCCGUUCCAAUUGAGGCUGCUUGGUUUUUUAUUCCCAUUGUGGGGGUGGAGUGGGGUGGGAAGGGGGUGGUAGGUGGGGGUAGGUUAUCAAAGAAGGCAGUAAAUUAUGUGGGGAAUAGAGAUGUUGAAGAAAGAUGCCAAAUCUUUGUUGAAACUAAUAGUUAAUGUCAAAGACCUAGUGACAGAAAUAAAUAAUCCAAGAAUUAUUUUAUGUUGUGUGUACCGCACAUUCUGGAAUAGUAUGAGAUGAAUAAAACUUGCAAGUGCCAUAGCCUAAUCUACUCAAUACAGGAAAUAUGGAUAGAUAACUUAAAUAAAGCUAAUGAUAGGCCUAAUAUAUUCAUAACUAAUUAGCACCUACAAAGCUUUUCAUUUAUAGGAAUAACAGUAGAUUUUUAAGCCGAAUUUAACCAUCACGUAGGUAAAAUUUAGAGUUUGAGAUGAAUCUUGUCAAGUCUUGUCAAGGGGUGGCAUACAGUAAGGAGAUAUUUGAUUCUUUGCACUAGACAAGGCAAUUCAUUCGAGUUUUUAUUUCUUAGCUCUCUCUCGAGUUGAUUACUAUCUCACUUGAACUGUCAGUUUCUGUUUCUUGGUGCUCGCUCAAGUCGAUUACUGUCUCACUUGAAUUGCUCGUCUUAGUUUCUGAUUCUUGGCUCUCUCUCGAGUCGAUUAUUUUUUCACUUGAGUUGCCAGAUUCUGUUGCUUGCAUAUCUCUUUUAUUAUACUAUCACGUGGCAUGCCAAACACUCGCUCAGUGAGAUGCGAAAUAUGCUGAUGAAUCUGCUCCUUGCCUUAAUUGACUUUCAAGCCUUGAUUAUGUUUAGCACUGUGAACUGAGUAUCAAUUUUAAAAUCUUUUGAUUCUGAAUAAUUUGAGGCCCUUAAAACACAGUCUGUACUUUGAGUUCUUGAAUAUUACAUUUAGGUUCGAAUUUGGCGGAACAUCAACUUGUGACAACAAUAAAAACUGACUCGGAUGUUAGGGUGCGAGUGGGAAUUCCCAGUUGCCUGUCCUGUCACAGGGCAGCUCAAGAAAUUUAUAUAAAAUUACUUUUAUUGAAAUUGAAACGCUACAUCGUAACAUAACCCCAAAAUUAGCAUUCAAAAGGCUUUUUAAGCACAUAAGAGGUACAUAAGCUCCUAGGAUAAAUGCUGACUGCCAUUAUUACUAAGGUCCUUAAGAAACCUAAUUAUAAAAAAAAUUCAGGUUCAAAUUUAUCAAUCAAAAAUUUAACUCAGAUUUAUUAUGUUCAAAUGACUGUAAUUAUUACUCAUCUUGUCUAAUUACAACUAGUUUGUGAGAUAUUAUAAUUAACCUUAAUUUUCAUUUAUCGUGAUAGUUCGUAACAUGGCUACAACAAGGAAUCAACGUCGACGCGAACGGAAACAUUUAGGUUUAUUUUGGACGAUGGUCAUACAAGCGAUUGUGAUAUAUAAUGAUAUUAAACAUCGUGAACAUCUCCCCAGAGCUCCUCAUAUCAAUUGGGAUUCCGAAACACAGAUGACACUUACACGAAUGUUUGGCAUGAGUGAUACGAUAUGUCGUGAUCUACUUGGAUGAAAAUAGGUCCGUUUCAAAGAUUAUGUGCUCGUUUGUGAACGUAUGGGUUGGUUGAUAGUAAAUUUGUCCGAAUUGAUGAACGAGUGGCUAUUUUUCUAAAUACCGUCGGGCAUGACCAAUGCAAUCGAUCUGGACGUUUUACUUUCUUUCGAUCUGGUCAAACAGUGAGCUUUUACUUCCACAGAGUCUUGCACGCUUGUCUUCGACUAUAUAGAGAUGUUGUGAUUAACGCCACUCCUCAUAACUCUCCAUACGAGAAGGAAAAUGUGAAACCAUGGUACUCAUGUUUUCAAUUUAGAGGUUUGUAGUUUUUCAUUAUAUCUCUUAAAACUUCCAUAUUAUAAUAUUUCGAAAAUUAUUCUUUUUUAAAGGAUGUUGUAGGGGCAAUAGGUGGUACACAUAUAGCUGCGAAUGUCCCCUUAGAGGAGCAAGCUAGGUAUCGCAAUAGAAAGCAAGUGAUUUCUCAAAAUGUUUUGGUAGCUUGCGCAUUUGAUAUGAAAUUUACAUAUGAUAUAAAAGAUCUGAAAAAGUUCCUUUUUUCAGAUGAAAAUUUGAAUGAAGUUGACGAUCAAAGCGAGGAUAGAGAUCCAAGCCCAGUCCGGGCUCCUAAGCGUAACGUUGACGGAGGAACUAACAAAAUUCAACGAAGAUGACGUAGCCAACCUAAUGAUGAGAGUCUCAUAGCCCUAUCAAGCAUUGCUGAAUCAUCAAAAACAAUUGCUAAUGCUUUGAAGAUUCAAGCAACGUUAGAUACUCUAAAUCACAUCAAUUGGCAAUUGGUUCUACAAAUAUUACAAAGCAUGAACAUUGAGAAGCAUGACAUAAUGCAAGUCAUGAAAGUAUUUCGAUCGGACGAGUGUCUG
Molecule: long non-coding RNA, 2803 nt
Filed under: Olea europaea subsp. europaea
Lineage: Eukaryota; Viridiplantae; Streptophyta; Magnoliopsida; Lamiales; Oleaceae
Source: RNAcentral